Molecule: long non-coding RNA, 648 nt
Organism: Vigna unguiculata (cowpea)
Lineage: Eukaryota; Viridiplantae; Streptophyta; Magnoliopsida; Fabales; Fabaceae
Source: RefSeq, a predicted model, not a curated record
UCCAUUUUUUGACCCCUUAGUUGACUCCAUGAGGUGGCAUGCACAGGUGGAUUUUAUUUUUUAAAUUAAAAUUAAUUUUAUUAAACCAUUUUACUUCAGAUGUGGCAGUUUUGGAGAGUGGGUGUGGACGUGAAAAUUGAAAGGGUGAGAAACACGUUUUGGAGAGUGGGUGUGGGCGUGAAAAUUGGAAGGGUGAGAAAGUAGGUUUUCUUUGGAGAGUGGGUGUGCGCAGAGGAAGCAAAAUUGAAAGGGUGAAAAGCUAGGUUUUCUUUGGAGAGUGGGUGUGCGCAGAGCAAGCAAAAACGAAGAAAGGGAAAAGAAAGAAAGAAAGGGAAAAGGAAGAAAGGAGAAAGGAAGAAAGGAGAAAAAGGGAGAAGACGUGUGUUGUAGUGAAAUCGAAGAAGACGAAGGGAGAAGACGAAGGGAGAAGACGAUCUUCCCAGAGUUAGGGCUUUUGUUGCUCUCCAUUGUUCGAUUCAACAUCGUGGUGAAUGACCACAACACUGUAAUCGAAGAAGAAAAAAGGAAAAGACAAAGCUUGCGAAGUUAGGAUUUUGGUGCUUUCAGUUGCUCGAUUCAGGCAGUGGUUGGUUGCUAUAUUCUGGCCUUUUGGGUACCUCAACAUCACACUUAGGAACAUUGUCAAGG